ACUUUAUUUUCUGUUGUGCAAAAAUUCUUUUUCUGAGAGCAAAGUGUCUGUAGUGAUCAAAGUAACCACAGAGUUGCCUAGGGAUGGAUUGUAUACAUUAUGAUCUUUGUGAUAGCUAUUCUAUGUCUGUAAACUGUCUGAGGUACAAGAAACUAUGUACAUGUGUGUAGGUUAUCCAGUAUUGAAGCAAAAGGUUGAGUUUAAACGAGGUGGGAGGUGUGCUAACAAAGGGGACUGGACCAAGUUUGUAAUGAAUACAAAGGCAUCUCAAAAUGAAGAGUGCUUGGAUGUUGUUCAUUUUAUAACCAAGUGGUGUGGUCAACCACUUAAUCCAGCUCACACGUUCUAAGACAUUAAAAGUUUACUGCAUAUGCCAUUAACAGAUACAUCACUUAAGAUUAUUCUAUCAAAAAAAGUUUUUUAAAACAUUG
Amphimedon queenslandica is the source of this 431-nucleotide long non-coding RNA. RefSeq lists it as uncharacterized. NCBI's taxonomy places the organism in Eukaryota, Metazoa, Porifera, Demospongiae, Haplosclerida, Niphatidae. The record is from RefSeq and is a predicted model, not a curated record. The transcript has 2 exons.